UGGAGGCAGAAACUGAUGCAGAAGCCAU
RNAcentral lists this non-coding RNA (28 nucleotides) under Cricetulus griseus (Chinese hamster). Lineage: Eukaryota; Metazoa; Chordata; Mammalia; Rodentia; Cricetidae. The record is from RNAcentral.